This 406-nucleotide ribosomal RNA is filed under the name uncultured bacterium. RNAcentral's name for it is "partial 16S ribosomal RNA". It matches the Rfam family "Bacterial small subunit ribosomal RNA", at positions 29 to 526 of the family's 1533-position model. The record is from RNAcentral.
AUUGAACGCUGGCGGCAGGCCUAACACAUGCAAGUCGAACGAGUGGCGGACGGGUGAGUAAUGUCUGGGAAACUGCCUGAUGGAGGGGGAUAACUACUGGAAACGGUAGCUAAUACCGCAUACCCUCAGAUGUGCACAGAUGGGAUUAGCUAGUUGGUGGGGUAACGGCUCACCAAGGCGACGAUCCCUAGCUGGUCUGAGAGGAUGACCGGGCACACUGGAACUGAGAGCCGGGCCAGACUCCUACGGGAGGCAGCAGUGGGGAGUAUUGCACAAUGGGCGAAAGCCUGAGGCAGCCAUGCCGCGUGGAUGAAGAAGGCCUUCGGGUUGUAAAGUACUUUCAGCGGGGAGGCGGUACCCGCAGAAGAAGCACCGGCUAACUCCGUGCCAGCACACGCGGUAAUAC